RNAcentral lists this ribosomal RNA (424 nucleotides) under uncultured bacterium. Its description in RNAcentral is "bacterial SSU rRNA". It matches the Rfam family "Bacterial small subunit ribosomal RNA", at positions 355 to 776 of the family's 1533-position model. The record is from RNAcentral.
UAAGGAAUAUUGGUCAAUGGACGCAAGUCUGAACCAGCCAUGCCGCGUGGAGGAUGAAGGCCCUCUGGGUUGUAAACUUCUUUUAUAGGGGACGAAACCCUGGUAUUCUUACCAGAUUGACGGUACCCUAGGAAUAAGCACCGGCUAACUCCGUGCCAGCAGCCGCGGUAAUACGGAGGGUGCAAGCGUUAUCCGGAUUCACUGGGUUUAAAGGGUGCGUAGGAGGGCAGGUAAGUCAGUGGUGAAAUCUCCAAGCUUAACUUGGAAACUGCCGUUGAUACUAUCUGUCUUGAAUAUUGUGGAGGUGAGCGGAAUAUGUCAUGUAGCGGUGAAAUGCUUAGAUAUGACAUAGAACACCAAUUGCGAAGGCAGCUCGCUACUCAAUUAUUGACUCUGAGGCACGAAAGCGUGGGGAUCAAACAGG